AUGAAGCUGUAACAGGUUGGUUGUGUUGCUGUCAGAUAAGAUGUCUGGGUGUCCCAGAGGUCUUCCAGGUCCAGCUGCAGCGUGAGAAACCCUCCAAUCAGAGUAGUCGAGUACGUGGAGCUGUGACUCAUCAGGAAACUACUCACCUGAGUUCUUCUUCAUCAACUCUUCUUCAUCAACUCUUCUUCAUCAACUCUUCUUCAUCACCUCUUUGGACUGUGUGAAGAAACUCCCUUCCUGCCUGCUUCCUGACAGGUGGAGCUGGGACUCAUUCCAGGGAACAGCUCACCUGUGUCAGAGAUUUCUCUCGAGGUGGAGAGUGACCCUCUUCUUCAUCAACUCUUUGGACUGUUUGAAGACACUGUAAGUAUCUGUUUGGUACUUUAACAACACGUUAGUCUUUGGUCUCUUCAGGGUUAGUUUCUGGCUCUGUAAUGUUAAAUAUAAUGUUUCUACUUCUCUUCUUAUUUC
This is a long non-coding RNA of Sander lucioperca (pikeperch), 471 nucleotides long. RefSeq lists it as uncharacterized. The transcript is spliced from 3 exons. Lineage: Eukaryota; Metazoa; Chordata; Actinopteri; Perciformes; Percidae. The record is from RefSeq and is a predicted model, not a curated record.